Oreochromis aureus is the source of this 1302-nucleotide long non-coding RNA. RefSeq lists it as uncharacterized. The record is from RefSeq and is a predicted model, not a curated record. Lineage: Eukaryota; Metazoa; Chordata; Actinopteri; Cichliformes; Cichlidae. The transcript has 5 exons.
UAUUAUUCAUACACAGUAAUGUGAAGCAUGCUCAUAUCUAGUAUAACUGGACCAACCUGGUGCUCUUCAUUUAUGGAGGCUGUUGAGUCUGAAUGUUGGAUGUUGUGUAUCUCGUGUUCUCUGGGCUUUGUUGUCCUCAGUCUUUUUGCAGGAUCAGAAAACAAAACCAGGAUGACCGUAAAUGUUUCUUCUCCAAUUGGAUGAUGAUAAGACUGUGACACGGGAUGCCACCUUUAGUCUUGUGAUGAAGCAAAGCUCAGGAAGAAGUGUGAUUAAAUGGUACCCACAUGUGUGCUGCUGAGAAGGAUGUACAGGGGCACCUGCAGCCAAAUCCAAGCCUCCUCAGCAACUUCAGGUCUGUCAGCGUGCUGAGGUCACAGAAACAAGAAAAGCAGCUUCAGACUUCAGAGUGUUGUUUACAGUUUUCUGUCAUCAUGAUCUCCCCUGAAGUUUAUCACUAUUAGGCAAGCAAGCAGAGCGGCAGUUUGUGCUCACAGAUGGUGACGGUGUGGAGAGACGGUGGUGUUUCCUCAGAAGAACUAGCAGAGUCACAAAGGGCACGAGUCUUUCUCACCACCUUGACUUGUUGAUCAGUGGAUACACUUGUCUCCCCUUUAAAGAAGAUACUCUUAGAGAGAGACGAUCAGAGUCAUCCUUAAAUAUGGGAAGGAUAUCACUAUUAGACUGUCUAACCUGCAGGAGCAGCACUGAAUGAUCACCACACAUGAUCAGUUCCUGCAACAUUCAGCAUCUGAUCUGCCAUCUGUGUGCUUCUGCUUUUGUGUCAAAUGUCAAACAGCUGGAGAGGAAACUACACCAGUGUACUGGGAUGUUUCAGCAACACGUGCCAGACGCUGUUCCUUCAUGGUGACAUCACCAGAGACGGCCCCGCCCACCUCAUGACCUCGCCAUUGAUCAUGAUGAUUUUAAUGAUGACAGCGAGCGGAACUAAGACUGUAAAAAUCAGAAUGUUUAGAUGCUUUCUAUUUAUUCAUGAAUACUGAGAGCCUCUUUCUGUGUUUUGUCUGUUUUGUUUUUUUUUACCUCAUUUGUUACUAACAAAGUUCACCAAACUCACACAGUUUACAUUCUGUAUGUUUCCAUCUUUACCAGCCACAGUCUACCUGCAAUUAAGAAAAUAAUCCUUACAAAUUGUCGUUUUUCUCUUUUGUAAUUUUGUAAUUCAGUGAAUAUACUGCGCUGCGUCUCACAUUGCUUUAAGUUUUUCCAGUGUCCAGUUAUUUUUUACUGUUGUUUGAACUCUCUGCAUGUUUGACCCUGUAGACUGUUUGAUGGACUGCU